AACCCCUUCAAGCCAAAUUUCAAGCCCUAGGCUCCCAAAAAUUAUGAAGACAAGAAAAUUAAUUUUUUUUCUUACCUAGAAGCAACGAGAAGACAAAGCAAACAACGAAAGACAAUCCUUUGCAUGGGCAAGAUGUAAAAGAUUGCUAGAGGAGGGGGAACAAAUAUCCUCUAAGCUCUCUCUCUCUCUCUCUCUUGUAGGGUAGAAUAAAUUACUCUCCAAAGUUGAUUUAAUAAUCCACUUAAGGUAGACUUAAAUAGGGUUUGAGAGAAAUUUAUUUCCCUUUCCAAGAAAGAUCUAAUUUCCUAUUAAAGAGGGAAUCUACAUCAAAAUAGGAAACAAUCCUAUGUUUCCCAAAGCAAGAAAAUCUCUACACCUAUUGCCUUUUUCUACAAGUAGCCCAACAAGUGUGGGGGCAUUUGUGGAGAAAAAAAUAAUCAAAAGGCGACACGUGGAUUUUUGGGUUAAAAGGACAAAAUUACCCUCAGGGAACACCGAAAUUCUUACACUCGAGCAGUGGACAAUCAUCCCUCAAUCAAGUCAAAAGUGCCCAAAAUAGGUAUUUAUUUAUAACCUAUUUCAUCCAUCCUCAUCAUAUCUUCUCCACAAGAUAACCCCCAUAUCAUUCCUCUUUUAAUUAAUUAAUUAUUCCAUUAAUUAGCUAAUUAACCACAAAUCAAGAACCUAACCCACAAAAUCAUCCAAGUGGAAGGUCCAUCUCCACCCAAAGAAGCCAACCACACCCUUAUAUAAACCCCCUCAUUCUCUCCAAAACUAAACUCUAAUUCUCUUGGUAAAUUCUCUAAAUUCUCUAAACACUUUCCUUCAAAAUUUUAACUUUAGCAUCAGAGGUUCU
This 856-nucleotide long non-coding RNA is filed under the name Malus domestica (apple). Its description in RNAcentral is "long non-coding RNA (MDOM_LNC020788)". Lineage: Eukaryota; Viridiplantae; Streptophyta; Magnoliopsida; Rosales; Rosaceae. The record is from RNAcentral.